This is a non-coding RNA of Ailuropoda melanoleuca (giant panda), 73 nucleotides long. The record is from Rfam. Lineage: Eukaryota; Metazoa; Chordata; Mammalia; Carnivora; Ursidae.
ACCUAGCUGGCUCAGUCGGUGGAGCGUGUAACUCUUGAUCUCUGGGUUGUGAGUUCGAGCCCCAUGUUGGGUG